Molecule: signal recognition particle RNA, 95 nt
Filed under: Bryobacterales bacterium
Lineage: Bacteria; Pseudomonadati; Acidobacteriota; Terriglobia; Bryobacterales
Description: signal recognition particle sRNA small type
Rfam family: Bacterial small signal recognition particle RNA
About the family: The signal recognition particle (SRP) is a universally conserved ribonucleoprotein involved in the co-translational targeting of proteins to membranes. Archaeal SRP consists of a 7S RNA and homologues of the eukaryotic SRP19 and SRP54 proteins.
Source: RNAcentral
UCAGACGGCCCCCGCAAGGGGGAACCGUGAACCGGGUCAGGCCGUAACAGGAGCAGCCCUAAGCGGGGUACUCUUGUGCGGGGGCCGUCCGGCGG